GUUAGGAAUAUUGGACAAUGGGCGAAAGCCUGAUCCAGCCAUGCCGCGUGAACGAUGAAGGCCUUCGGGUUGUAAAGUUCUUUAGCCGAUGAUUAUAAUGACUGUAGUCGGAAAAUAAGCCCCGGCUAACUUCGUGCCAGCAGCCGCGGUAAUACGAAGGGGGCGAGCGUUAUUCGGAAUCACUGGGCGUAAAGCGUGCGUAGGCGGUUUUGUAAGUUAGGAGUGAAGGCCCAGGGCUCAACCUUGGAAUUGCUCUUAAAACUGCAAGGCUCGAAUCUCGGAGAGGAUAGCGGAAUUUCCAGUGUAGCAGUGAAAUGCGUAGAUAUUGGAAGGAACACCAGUGGCGUAAGCGGCUAUCUGGACGAGUAUUGACGCUGAGGCACGAAAGCGUGGGGAUCAAACAGGAUUAGAUACCCUGGUAGUCC
This 425-nucleotide ribosomal RNA is filed under the name uncultured bacterium. RNAcentral describes it as "partial 16S ribosomal RNA". It matches the Rfam family "Bacterial small subunit ribosomal RNA", at positions 354 to 796 of the family's 1533-position model. The record is from RNAcentral.